RNAcentral lists this ribosomal RNA (1427 nucleotides) under Staphylococcus saprophyticus. RNAcentral's name for it is "bacterial SSU rRNA". It matches the Rfam family "Bacterial small subunit ribosomal RNA". Lineage: Bacteria; Bacillati; Bacillota; Bacilli; Caryophanales; Staphylococcaceae. The record is from RNAcentral.
UGCAGUCGAGCGACAGAUAAGGAGCUUGCUCCUUUGACGUUAGCGGCGGACGGGUGAGUAACACGUGGGUAACCUACCUAUAAGACUGGGAUAACUUCGGGAAACCGGAGCUAAUACCGGAUAACAUUUGGAACCGCAUGGUUCUAAAGUGAAAGAUGGUUUUGCUAUCACUUAUAGAUGGACCCGCGCCGUAUUAGCUAGUUGGUAAGGUAACGGCUUACCAAGGCGACGAUACGUAGCCGACCUGAGAGGGUGAUCGGCCACACUGGAACUGAGACACGGUCCAGACUCCUACGGGAGGCAGCAGUAGGGAAUCUUCCGCAAUGGGCGAAAGCCUGACGGAGCAACGCCGCGUGAGUGAUGAAGGGUUUCGGCUCGUAAAACUCUGUUAUUAGGGAAGAACAAACGUGUAAGUAACUGUGCACGUCUUGACGGUACCUAAUCAGAAAGCCACGGCUAACUACGUGCCAGCAGCCGCGGUAAUACGUAGGUGGCAAGCGUUAUCCGGAAUUAUUGGGCGUAAAGCGCGCGUAGGCGGUUUCUUAAGUCUGAUGUGAAAGCCCACGGCUCAACCGUGGAGGGUCAUUGGAAACUGGGAAACUUGAGUGCAGAAGAGGAAAGUGGAAUUCCAUGUGUAGCGGUGAAAUGCGCAGAGAUAUGGAGGAACACCAGUGGCGAAGGCGACUUUCUGGUCUGUAACUGACGCUGAUGUGCGAAAGCGUGGGGAUCAAACAGGAUUAGAUACCCUGGUAGUCCACGCCGUAAACGAUGAGUGCUAAGUGUUAGGGGGUUUCCGCCCCUUAGUGCUGCAGCUAACGCAUUAAGCACUCCGCCUGGGGAGUACGACCGCAAGGUUGAAACUCAAAGGAAUUGACGGGGACCCGCACAAGCGGUGGAGCAUGUGGUUUAAUUCGAAGCAACGCGAAGAACCUUACCAAAUCUUGACAUCCUUUGAAAACUCUAGAGAUAGAGCCUUCCCCUUCGGGGGACAAAGUGACAGGUGGUGCAUGGUUGUCGUCAGCUCGUGUCGKGAGAUGUUGGGUUAAGUCCCGCAACGAGCGCAACCCUUAAGCUUAGUUGCCAUCAUUAAGUUGGGCACUCUAGGUUGACUGCCGGUGACAAACCGGAGGAAGGUGGGGAUGACGUCAAAUCAUCAUGCCCCUUAUGAUUUGGGCUACACACGUGCUACAAUGGACAAUACAAAGGGCAGCUAAACCGCGAGGUCAUGCAAAUCCCAUAAAGUUGUUCUCAGUUCGGAUUGUAGUCUGCAACUCGACUACAUGAAGCUGGAAUCGCUAGUAAUCGUAGAUCAGCAUGCUACGGUGAAUACGUUCCCGGGUCUUGUACACACCGCCCGUCACACCACGAGAGUUUGUAACACCCGAAGCCGGUGGAGUAACCAUUUAUGGAGCUAGCCGUCGAAGGUU